AUUUAUUUUAGGAUUUGGGAUUUAUUUUGGGAUUUAUUUUAGGAUUUGGGAUUUAUUUUGGGAUCUGGGAUUUAUUUUGGGAUCUGGGGUUUUUCCCGGCAGGUGAUCCAGGCCCGGCAGAAGGAGGCUCCGUUCCUGCUGCCCGAGGAGGCCUUCGGGGACAACCCCCGGGUGGGCGGGGCCAGCCUGGAGCAGCUGGGGCCGGAAUUUUUCUUCGGCCAAAACAAAAUCAGCGAAAUCCUGGGGAGCUGCGGAUACAGCGCCGAGAGACUCAGCGCGCCCUACGUGCCCCAGCUCUCCGGUGAGAGCAAUCCCGGGAAUUCCGGGAAUUCCGGGGAUUCUUUGGGAAUUUUUGGGAAUUCUUUGGGAAUUUUUGGGAAUUUUUUUGGAAUAUUUGGGAUUUUUUUUUAAUUUUUGGGGAAUUUUUGGGAUUUUUUGGGAAUUCUUUGAGAUUUGGGGGGAAUUUUUGGGAAUUCUUUGGGAAUUCUUUGGGAAUUUUUUUGGAAUUUUUGGGAUUUUUUUUGGGAAUUUUUGGGAUUUUUUUGAGAGUUUUUUUGGAAUUUUUGGGAUUUUUUGGGAAUUUUUUGAGAUUUGGGGGAAUUUUUGGGAAUUCUUUGGGAAUUUGGGAAUUCUUUGGGAAUUUUGGGGAAUUUUUUUGGAAUUUUUGGGAUUUUUUUUAAUUUUUGGGGAAUUUUUGGGAUU
This 702-nucleotide long non-coding RNA is filed under the name Cyanistes caeruleus (blue tit). Its description in RNAcentral is "lncRNA (ENSCCEG00000005570.1)". The record is from RNAcentral. Lineage: Eukaryota; Metazoa; Chordata; Aves; Passeriformes; Paridae.